Small nucleolar RNA from Armigeres subalbatus, 217 nucleotides. RefSeq annotates it as small nucleolar RNA U3. The transcript has a single exon. NCBI's taxonomy places the organism in Eukaryota, Metazoa, Arthropoda, Insecta, Diptera, Culicidae. The record is from RefSeq and is a predicted model, not a curated record.
AAGACUGUGCUUCACAGGAUCAUUUCUGUAGGCAAGUUUUCACCACACGUUUUUUCCGACAGGAAAAGAUUUCCCACCCACGAUGAUGUGACUAUGGUGGCCAGUUUGGAGCGUGAAACUUGGUUCGGGUGCUGCCCAUUCGAUGUUUAUUCGGAACGGGUACCGAGCUGCUGAUGAUCGGCUUCCUUGCAAUAAAACUGGCCGCGGUCUGAGUGGU